This 433-nucleotide ribosomal RNA is filed under the name uncultured bacterium. Its description in RNAcentral is "partial 16S ribosomal RNA". It matches the Rfam family "Bacterial small subunit ribosomal RNA", at positions 29 to 507 of the family's 1533-position model. The record is from RNAcentral.
AGCGAACGCUGGCGGCAGGCCUAACACAUGCAAGUCGAACGAACUCUUCGGAGUUAGUGGCGGACGGGUGAGUAACACGUGGGAACGUGCCUUUUGGUUCGGAAUAACUCAGGGAAACUUGUGCUAAUACCGAAUGUGCCCUUCGGGGGAAAGAUUUAUCGCCAUUAGAGCGGCCCGCGUCUGAUUAGCUAGUUGGUGAGGUAACGGCUCACCAAGGCGACGAUCAGUAGCUGGUCUGAGAGGAUGACCAGCCACACUGGGACUGAGACACGGCCCAGACUCCUACGGGAGGCAGCAGUGGGGAAUCUUGCGCAAUGGGCGAAAGCCUGACGCAGCCAUGCCGCGUGAAUGAUGAAGGUCCUAGGAUUGUAAAAUUCUUUCACCGGGGACGAUAAUGACGGUACCCGGAGAAGAGGCCCCGGCUAACUUCGUG